This 282-nucleotide ribosomal RNA is filed under the name Triticum aestivum (bread wheat). RNAcentral describes it as "partial small subunit ribosomal RNA". Lineage: Eukaryota; Viridiplantae; Streptophyta; Magnoliopsida; Poales; Poaceae. The record is from RNAcentral.
AUGGAGAUGGAGACCGUGGCGUGGGCGGCGAGGAGGUCGAUGCAGGAGGCCGCGGCGUCGUACGCGCGGUCCACGGCGAGGUCGGUCGAGACCAUCGUGGUGAUCGUGGCGGCCAUCGUGCUCGCCGCGGCGCUCGCGGGCGUUCUCGCGCGGGCGUGCGGCGGGAGGCACGUGGCGGACCGCGACGUCGAGGGGUGGGUGGAGCGCCGCUGCCGGAGCUGCCUCGACAGCGGCCUGCCGCCGCCAGCAACAUCAUCAUCCAAGGCCAGUGACGCCAAAUAG